Molecule: ribosomal RNA, 460 nt
Filed under: uncultured bacterium
Lineage: Bacteria
Description: partial 16S ribosomal RNA
Rfam family: Bacterial small subunit ribosomal RNA
Source: RNAcentral
CCUACGGGUGACAGCAGUGAGGAAUCUUGGUCAAUGGACGCAAGUCUGAACCAGCCAUGCCGCGUGCAGGAAGACGGCUCUAUGAGUUGUAAACUGCUUUUGUACGAGGGUAAACGCAGAUACGCGUAUCUGUCUGAAAGUAUCGUACGAAUAAGGAUCGGCUAACUCCGUGCCAGCAGCCGCGGUAAUACGGAGGAUUCAAGCGUUGUCCGGAUUUAUUGGGUUGAAUGGGUGCGUAGGCGGUCGGAUAAGUUAGAGGUGAAAGCCCGAGGCUCAACUUGGGAAUUGCCUCUGAUACUGGUCGGCUAGAGAGUAGUUGCGGUAGGCGGAAUGUAUGGUGUAGCGGUGAAAUGCUUAGAGAUCAUACAGAACACCGAUGGCGAAGGCAGCUUACCAAGCUACUUCUGACGUUGAGGCACGAAAGCGUGGGGAGCAAACAGGAUUAGAUACCCUAGUAGUC